RNAcentral lists this ribosomal RNA (243 nucleotides) under uncultured bacterium. RNAcentral describes it as "partial 16S ribosomal RNA". It matches the Rfam family "Bacterial small subunit ribosomal RNA", at positions 333 to 590 of the family's 1533-position model. The record is from RNAcentral.
GCAUACCUACGGGAGGCAGCAGUGGGGAAUAUUGGGCAAUGGGCGCAAGCCUGACCCAGCAACGCCGCGUGAAGGAAGAAGGCUUUCGGGUUGUAAACUUCUUUUCUCAGGGACGAAGCAAGUGACGGUACCUGAGGAAUAAGCCACGGCUAACUACGUGCCAGCAGCCGCGGUACUACGUAGGUGGCAAGCGUUAUCCGGAUUUACUGGGUGUAAAGGGCGUGUAGGCGGGGACGCAAGUCA